UUUUUGCUUGCUGCCCACACCAGAAUAGGUUUUAAAAACAUAACCACAAACUAUUUAAUAACUGGCAUCCUCCCGAAUUAUAACAUGCGCCCAAAACCUUCACAUCCACAAUCGCACUCUACCUUCUCUCUCUAUCAGCGACUCCACCAAUGCGGUUGCCGCUGUCGAGUUCCUCGUUGUCUCCAUCCAUGCCGUUGGCGAGUUCCUCCGAUCCUUCCGAUAGUGGAGUAUAACCACAACCUAAACAAAGAUUCUGGUGAGUUUUUUUGUUUCAAAUCUAUUUGGGUUUUGUGGGUAUUAGUGGAGUAUAACCAACCUAAACAAAUUAAGUUUGGCGCGUACGAAUUAGUGUAUUGAAGUUGUAUGAUAUUUUUUUGGAACAUUCGUUUCUUUUGUGAUAGCUCCAUUAGAUGCAAGACUGAGUUUGUUGUUGAGCAAUUGGCAUCGAAUUAUUAUUUUUACUGCCAUCGAGAUCGCAGCUGCCACAACCUAUUUUGUUUUUGUUUUUGUCAGAACCAGACCAGACCGAACCAAACUAAACCUUCUUCUGGCAAUUUAUUUUGUGAUUUAGUGCUUUUGCUUGUGCUGAAUUAGAAGUUUUUGCAAAAUGAGUUCAACCAGGCGAUUGUGCGUGGAUGGUUAAUUUGGUUAUGCAAUGGCUUUGUUCUUGUUCUGCACAACCUUGUAUUCCUUUUGUGGCCAAUGAUGUUCUAAAUAUUUGCCGACAUUGUCUGACUGGCCUGGCCAUGGUCAUGGCCAUGAAACUCUGAAACUGUGCUGAGGCCAAAUGGAUGCAAGUAGAUAUUCUUUAUGUUAUGUUAUCAAAACAAAUAUAUAUUCUUUUUUUUAAAAAAAUAAAUGUAUUUAAUUAUUUAUUUAUUUUCUGUAUAAUAAAUACUAAAAAGUUGUUUUUUGUAAUGUAGGACCAAUUUCUUUGUAAUGAUUUUCAUUUAAUUUGAUAGCAAAAUUCAAAAUUUAAAAUAUGUUUAAAUUAAAAAUACUUAAAAACGAAUUAUUUAGAUUAAUUUUCAAAACCAACAUUUGAAACAACUACAAAGUGAAAUAUGAAAUUUAAAAAGUAAAAAUGGACAAAUAAAUUUAUUUUAAAAUAUUUUAUUUUUAAAAAAUGAAUAAAUAAAUCAGAACAUUAAUAGUAACUUAAAUUGAGAAUUCUUCUCUCUCUAGUUUCCAUUCUUAAAAAUAAUUAAAUAAUUUUAUAUUCUUAAAAAGUAGAUUCUAGAAUACUCCAAGAAUGCUAAAACAAAGGCUGUAAAAGUCAUUUACUCCAUAGGAAAAUAUCUUUUAGUUUUAUAAUAGCAACUAAGGCUCAUCAAUUUUUUUUAUUUUUUUGCUUAAAAUAAGCAAAAAAAUUUAUCAGAGUUAGCUUUUUUAUUUUUACUUUUUUGCUUAGUUUUAGUUAAAGUAAAGUCACAAAAACAAAAAAAAUUAAAUUUUUUUUAAUAUUUUUUAUAACAAACUUAAAAAAAAAUUAACUUUUAAUCAUUACCAAACGGAGCCUAAAUCUUGUGAAUUGUAUAAGUUGAUAGUAUAAGAUUGUAGAGUGUGUCCCCUAUCCUAGGAAGGUCCCAUAUUCUAAAGUUUUUUUAUUAUUAUUAUUAUCAAGUUGUGUAAUAUUAUAUACUAAAUCACAAUCAUAUGCUUCUGAUGAAUGUUUGUACUUUAAAUUUUUUUUUUAAUUCAUGUACAUGUAUUAUUUUUAAAAUCACUUUGGUUUAUACUAAUAAAAGAUAUGUCUGUCAAUAAAAAAAGAAAAAAAAAGUUUAAAUUUCACUAUUGGUCUGUCUCAUCUAGUUACGGAGAGCGCAUAUACCUUAGUUUUUCUGUUCAAAAAGUUUAACAAAAGAGUGAGUUGCUAUUUGUUAACGCGGAAAAGCAAUUCAGCAUAAUUCAACAUCUAAAUGGUACCUUAAAAGCAACCCCGGUCAGUUUCAUUUUUAUUGACUCAAGUUUUAUUUUAUUUCUUAUUAUUUUAAUUUGAACAAAGUAAAUUUUAUAAUUUUAAAUCAGUUGUAAUGUUAACUAUGUGUCUAACCGUGUUAGAUUAUUGGAUGAAAAAUUUAAAUUAUAAGGAUUAAAGUAAAAUUUCGGUCAAACUCGAAAGGGUAAACGAGGAAUUAAUCAUUCUUUUAAUUUUUAAGAAAAUCUUUUAAUAUUUAAUCAUAUUUUUGUUAAUGUGCUUUUCUUUUUUCAUAUGAUUUUGAUAAAAAAAAAAUUUUACUUUUUAAUUUCCCUUAUUAACCUAAAAAUAUAAAUAAGGAUUAAAUCUGAAACAAGCCUACCAAAUUUUAUCUAGAUAACUUGUUUUCUAAUUUUAUAAAAUAUUAUACUUUUUACUUGCCUCUAUACCAAAAGCAUUUAAAAGUUAAAAAAAAGUUUUAAAAAGUUCACUGUUGAUAUAUAAAAAAUAGUAUCUUUUUAAUGGUGCUCUAACAUUUGACUGUUUGAUCUAAACAGUGGAGUUCAUGAUUUUUUUGUACGGAUUGUGACUAACAUAUACACAUUUAUCAUGCAAUGAAUGAUGUAAAUGAGGAAUUAUUUGGUGCUCUUAGAUUUAAAUAGUGGAGUUCAUGAUUUUUUUUGUAUGGAUUGUGACUAAUAUAUGCACAUUUUUCAUGCAAUGAAUGAUGUAAAGAAAUGCUCCAAGAGCACCAAAUAAUUCCUCAUUUUUAACAGCUGCCUUUAAAAAAACUAAUACUAAAAUUGAUGGUUUGUUGUUGGACAUUGUACAUUGCUAGAGGUGUCAAACAUGCCCGUCGUGCCAUGCCGUGCCAUUUUUCUUCCGUGUCAGUCGUGCUUCGUGUCGUGUUGUGCUUGGCCCAUUUACUUAAUUGUACCAUGUCGUGCCUUUUUUAAGCGUGCCGUGCCUUUUUUAAGCGUGUCGUGUCGUGCCAUUUUUCUUUAUUCGUGUGUGUCGUGCCGUUGCUGGCCAGCUUACUUAUCGUGGUCGUGCUGUGUGUGCAGGACGCUAACUUAGUCGUGUGACUUGUGUCGUUCCAUGCCGUGCCGUCUACUUAAUCGUGUCGUGCCGUGCCGCAUGGCUAACUAGUCGUAUGAUCGUGCCAUGUCAUUGCCCGUCUACUUAAUAGUGUCGUGUCGUGCUCGUAUUUUAUUGUGUCGUGUCCGUUUUUAAUUAAAAAGACCCCCCCCCCCCCCCCCAAUUACAGUAGUUUGUGGUCAAAAAACAAAUAAGAACUCCCAAAUUAUAAAUAUUUUGACACCAAAAAGGCCUUUUCCAUGGAAAUCAUUAAUUUAGGAAGGUACGCUUAGUGGCCUACAGACUUAUGGGUUAGCAGCCGUGCACAUGAAAAAGGUCAAUUUAUUUAAUUUAAAAUUUAUUUUAAUUAUUUAAUAAUUAAAUUAUUUUUGUCACUUCUGGUCGUUGCCAUAACCGUGCCGUGCCCUUGACACAUACGUGCCCAUGCCCAUGCCGUUAUGCUUGGCCACUAAGUCUGUAUCGUUGUUUGUGUCGUGACCGUGCCAAACCAUGUCAACUAUCGUGUCGUGCCAGAACUGCCCGGGCUUGAUCGCGUGUGCCAGGCUGUACGUGUAAGCCAACUAUCGUGCCGUGCCCGGGCAGCGUUUCGCCUCCACCAUUUUUCGUUGUCCCGUGCCCGUGACCCGUGUCCGCUCAGACCGUUGUCGCCGUGCCGUGCCCAAACUUAUUACCGUGCGAAAAACCGUGCCCAUGCAAGAGUUUUUUCGUGCCAUGCCGUGCCGAAAAGGCCCACUUGACACCUCUAUACAUUGCAUGUAAUCUCGUAUAGAAUGUAUAAUCCUUUUAAAUAUCUUAAUCAAUGAUUUUAGAACACUUGUUAAUAAAAUAUUAAAAAGAGAUUAAUAAGCGGAAUUUUAUAUUGCACACACUCUUAUGUAUAAUGUAUAAAUCUUUUAAAUAUGUUAAUUAAUAACUUUAGAAUACUCCUUAAUAAAAUUCUAAAAGAAGGUUUAGUAAAAGGAAAUGAAAAGUAAUUUUUUUAUUUUAAAAUUAUAUAAAAAAGAAAAGAAAAGUAAAAAAUAAUGAUUACAAACUAAAAAAAUCUUUAAAAAUAAAAAGAAGGGUUAAUUUUCCUUUUAUCCCUUCGAGUUUUACCGAAGUUUUACUUUAGUCCUUAUAAUUCUAACUUACGAUAAAAAAAUUCAACACUGUUUAUGUACAUAGUUAAUAUUGCAAUUGAUCUAAAACUAUAAGAUUUACCUUGUUCAAAUUAAAACUAUAAGAACUAAAGUGAAUCUUGAGUCAAAGUGAAAUUAAUCAUAAAUUACAUAGCAGUUUUUAAUGAUUUUUUUUUCCUUGAUCAAAAUAUUAUACUUUUUUGUAUUUAUCUUAAUGAAAACGCUCUGAAAAGGUAAAAAAAAAAUAUUUUGAAAAAAAAAUCUACUAAAGAAAAAAAAACAUUUUAACUUGACAAAUAAGUUGAUUUUUUUUUGUUUUUUUCCCCCAAAAUUGAUCAAAAUUUUUACUUUUAUAUUUAAAAAAACAUUUUACCUAGUGUAUAUGUUAAUUUUACCUUUUUACCUAGUGUAAAAAAAACAUUUUAAUUUUUACAUAGUAUAUAUGUUUCUUUCUUGUGUCUUUAGAUCAAUAAUAUUAUUUGAAUUCAUGAAGUAUGAUUUUUCAGUCUAGAAUUUCAAAUUCCCAUGGAUUUCAAAUCCUCUAUAACUUUUUUUUCAAUUAUGUGAAUUUUAAUCAAUACAUAUUUUGAUGAGAGAGAGAAGGGGGAGAGAUGGAGAAAUAGUAAAGAAAGAGAUCGGAAGGGAGAGAAAAUUGGAGUGAAGUGUUGAAGGUAAAGUUGAGAUGAGUGAAAAUAUGAAAGAAUUUGUCAUAUGAGAAUAUUAUUAAAACAUUUUAAAUUUUCAAAUCAUACUUGAAUAAUUUACUAUUUUGCUCAUUUAUCAGCCAUAACUAUUAGUAAAUUUGAAAUAAAAAAGGCUAUACAAAUUAAGAAAUUUUAUAAUUUUUUUUUGCUAACUAAUGUGUCACAAAACUGAUAAAAUUUUGAUAUUUAAAAUGGGACCCACCAAAAUGAUGUGAUAAGGAAAAUUUAUGUGAGUAAAAAAAAUUGUAAGAUUUUUAUUAUUGUUUAUCAUUAUUUGUUUGAAAUUAAUGCUCCUUGAAUGUCCAAAGUACACAAUCUUCUAGAACAAAAAUUUCAAAAUAACUAAAACUGUUAAUAAAAAUGAAAGUGAAUAUUCAGUUUGCUUGUUCUCUUGAAAGAAUAUGGCUAUUGACAGAGAAAGGUCAAUGAAAAAGCAUUUGGUAACAUGAAGCCGAGGCUUAGCCAGUGGUAAGUAGAAGCCAUAUCAAGACUUCGGUAGGUUCGAGUUUCACCAUCAGUCUCCGGCAUAUAACAUGAUUGUAAAGGGCGAGAGUUCAGGAUGCGAGCUAACACUCGAAGGUCUCACUUUCGAUUCUUGGCUAUUACGUUGCAUAACCGUGUUUACAUUCUGAGGUGCGAAUGACUACCUACUCAGGGUGACAGACAUUAGUUUGAGUCGGCAAAAUACUUGUUUCUCACAAUAUAUUGUUAUUUAACCAUUAUUUUUUUUAUAUUUUAGUAUCAUUGUGUAUAUUAUUUAUUAUAUUUAUACACAUAUUUGGUGCAAGA
RNAcentral lists this long non-coding RNA (5627 nucleotides) under Actinidia chinensis (golden kiwifruit). Its description in RNAcentral is "long non-coding RNA (ACHI_LNC005478)". Lineage: Eukaryota; Viridiplantae; Streptophyta; Magnoliopsida; Ericales; Actinidiaceae. The record is from RNAcentral.